This 253-nucleotide ribosomal RNA is filed under the name uncultured bacterium. RNAcentral describes it as "partial 16S ribosomal RNA". It matches the Rfam family "Bacterial small subunit ribosomal RNA", at positions 524 to 776 of the family's 1533-position model. The record is from RNAcentral.
AACGUAGGACGCAAGCGUUAUCCGGAGUUACUGGGCGUAAAGGGCGUGUAGGCGGCGCUGCAAGUUCGUCGUGAAAGCCUCCGGCUCAACCGGGGAGGGUCGAGGGAGACUGCGGCGCUGGAGGACGGUAGAGGGACAGGGAAUUCCGGGUGUAGUGGUGAAAUGCGUAGAGAUCCGGAGGAACACCAGUGGCGAAGGCGCUGUCCUGGGCCGCACCUGACGCUGAAACGCGACAGCAUGGGGAGCGAACGGG